GUUCUUGCUGCCGGUCCUAACGUCCCGCAGUCUUCGCCAGCCAGCCGUCCCGCACGCGCGUUUGGGCGGCGUGGAGCCUGCUGCCAUGAAGUCAGCGAGAGCUAAGACACCCCGGAAACCUACCGUGAAAAAAGGGUCCCAAACGAACCUUAAAGACCCAGUUGGGGUAUACUGUAGGGUGCGCCCACUGGGCUUUCCUGAUCAAGAGUGUUGCAUAGAAGUGAUCAAUAAUACAACUGUUCAGCUUCAUACUCCUGAGGGCUACAGACUCAACCGAAAUGGAGACUAUAAGGAGACUCAGUAUUCAUUUAAACAAGUAUUUGGCACUCACACCACCCAGAAGGAACUCUUUGAUGUUGUGGCUAAUCCCUUGGUCAAUGACCUCAUUCAUGGCAAAAAUGGUAUGAUAUGACUCUUGGAGUUUUGUUAGAUUUUCCUUUUUCUCCUCUUCUGAUAAAACUUUUUUGAUAUUUAUAUAUUUGAUUUAUGUUUGGUGUUGAAUCCAUAUUUAAUUUGUUAGGGUGGUGCUAAACUUGCCUUUUUUGAGCUGGCUAAUUGUUAGUGU
RNAcentral lists this small RNA (565 nucleotides) under Pan troglodytes (chimpanzee). RNAcentral describes it as "retained intron". The record is from RNAcentral. Lineage: Eukaryota; Metazoa; Chordata; Mammalia; Primates; Hominidae.